CAAGGGGUGGAUCACUCCUGAUGCAUCGAGAAAAUUAAAAUGCAUUUCAAUGCAAUCGUUCUCUUUGAAAAUUUCUAAACUCAUGGUAUGCUGUGAUUUUUGGCUCUGGGUUUGAUUGUUGUUGUGUAAGUGUCAAUUUCGUCCAUACUUAAUUUACUAUCUUGGCAGCUAACUUUUAUAUGAAUCAUCGAAAGCAUUGGCCAUCCAGAGUUCUCAAUCUAAAUUUAUCCUUUCAGGAUCUAUAUGUGGCUAGAUGUUCCAUCGACCAAAAUUGCCUUGUCUCGGAAUGGCUAAAUUGUCCUCUUUUGAAAUGCAAAGCUGAUAAUUCUGAUUCACUUAACCAAAGCUGGAAAUGGUUGGCGGACUCCGUAAGGAAGAUGUCCAAAGUUAUGAGGACAUGAUAAGAUUUCAAAUUGUGAACCAGAACGAGUUCACCGGCAUCAUCAUUGGCGAAGGGUGCUGUUAUAGAUGAAAAUAAUUAUGAAAAAUGCUCCUUGUUGGGGAAUUCUCUCCAUGGAUAAGGAACAAACUUAAUUUAUAAUCUUUAUUUUGAUUGCCAAUCAUGUAUUUAUGAAGUAAAGCUUAUGGGAGAGGGAGGAGGUUGAUUUAUUUACAGCUUUUCUAGACGAUUUCUACUUUAUUAAACAAUCGAUUUAUAUUACA
Aedes aegypti (yellow fever mosquito) is the source of this 663-nucleotide long non-coding RNA. RefSeq lists it as uncharacterized. The record is from RefSeq and is a predicted model, not a curated record. Lineage: Eukaryota; Metazoa; Arthropoda; Insecta; Diptera; Culicidae. The transcript is spliced from 2 exons.